RNAcentral lists this ribosomal RNA (324 nucleotides) under uncultured eukaryote. Its description in RNAcentral is "partial 18S ribosomal RNA". It matches the Rfam family "Eukaryotic small subunit ribosomal RNA", at positions 1470 to 1796 of the family's 1831-position model. The record is from RNAcentral.
CCCUUAGAUGCUCUGGGCCGCACGCGCGCUACACUGGUCGAUGCAACGAGUUUCUUUCCUUGGCCGACAGGCCUGGGCAAUCUUUGAACAUCGAUCGUGAUCGGGAUAGAUUCUUGUAAUUUUUGAUCUUAAACGAGGAAUUCCUAGUAAACGCAAGUCAUCAGCUUGCAUUGAUUACGUCCCUGCCCUUUGUUCACACCGCCCGUCGCACCUACCGAUUGAAUGGUCCGGUGAAAUCUCCGGACUGGCGUGAGUCGGAGCAAUCUGACAAACGCCGGAAAGUUGAUUAAACCUUACCAUUUAGAGGAAGGUGAAGUCGUAACA